CUCUCGUGCUGGAUGCUUCCUGCCCUCGAACAUCGGACUCCAAGUUCUUCAGCUUUGGGACUUGGACUGAUUUCCUUGCUCCUCAGUUUCCAGUCUACUGAGGGACUUUGUGAUCAUCAGAUACUGAAAAGAGGACAUGGGUAGACAACGUCCUUCACUCAAUAUUGGCAGAGAAACACAGAAACCAACAGCCAUGGGAAACUGAGGGAAAAGAUAUCUGCACUUUGUCUCUGAUCCCCUCUCAGUUCCCCAAGCAGAGGAGUCAGGACUUGAGAAGAGACAGAAACGACGUCUAAUGCAAAGACAGACCCCCACCCCUGAAUUGAGAGAGAGGAAGAGAAUAAAGGCAUCAGAAGAGACCCAUGCACAAACAUUUCUUCUGUCCGCUGAUGGACAACAAAUGGAUUAAAGGACUCAUUCAAAAGACAGAACAGGCCGAGCUCAUGCCUGUAAUCCCAGCACUUUGGGAGGCUGAGGCAGGCCGAUGACUUGAGGUCAGGAGUUCGAGAGCAGCCUGGCCAACAUGGUGAAACCCUGGCUCUACUAAAAAUAAAAAAAUUAGCUCUGUGUGGUGGCACGUGCCUGUAAUCCCAGCUACUUGGAAGGCUGAGGCACGAGAAUCACUUGAACCCAGGAGGCAGAGGUUGCAGUGAGCCAAGGACACACUACUGCACUCCAGCCUGGGUGAUGGAGUGAGACUCUGUCUCAAAAAAUAAAAAAAUAAAAAGUAAAAAUAAAAAGACAGAACAGAUUAUGAUUAGUGUCUUUAAAU
This 772-nucleotide long non-coding RNA is filed under the name Homo sapiens (human). RNAcentral's name for it is "HSALNT0058529". Lineage: Eukaryota; Metazoa; Chordata; Mammalia; Primates; Hominidae. The record is from RNAcentral.